RNAcentral lists this long non-coding RNA (1802 nucleotides) under Glycine max (soybean). Its description in RNAcentral is "long non-coding RNA (GMAX_LNC000014)". Lineage: Eukaryota; Viridiplantae; Streptophyta; Magnoliopsida; Fabales; Fabaceae. The record is from RNAcentral.
GUGAUUUCGUGUAGUUGCUGGAGCAGAAGAAGAUAAAGCCAUUAGAUAAUUAUACCACUACAAAUCAAUUGUAACAAAAUUAUAUUCCACACCCAUUUUGUUAUCAUUUUGUUACAUUCUUUGUUAGCCAAUGAUUGACAAUUUCUCCUCAAUUGUAAACACCACAAAUAGUAAUGAAAUCAACAAAGUAUUUCCCACAAUUCCAUUAGCAAUAUAACAAUUUAGACAUUUGUCAUAAAUAGCUACCUUAUCACACCUCCUGGGUUUAAGACUUAUUAUACACACACCCCCUACUUGGUUUACUCCUAUACAAACCUCCCCUAGUUAUAACAAUUUUGUUAUAAUUGCACCCUAGUUCUUCUUUAUUGUGUUAGUUUUGUUAAACAAAACAUAUCAUAUGCAUUGCCCAUGCUUCUUUAAUGAAAUUGUAGGACACUUAUGUCCUCAUCUUCCUCAGAUAAUUGUUAUGAGGUGAAGUUUUAAACUUCGUGGUACACCUGUGUAAUCAUGUAUAGGUUCAUAAUCCUGAAAAACAUGAAUGAGGGUUUCAACUUUCACGGUAAUUUUGGCAACGGUGGUUUAUGAUAUUAAUUUAUUUAAUUUAUCAUUUAUGUAAACAAAGAAGAAGAUAAACAACUCACAAUUAAUAAAUAAUAAAAUUUUGGCCUCUAAUAAUAAUAGAUUAAACUUUUGUACAUUGAUAUAUACAUAGAUUUUUUAAUCUGUGUAUCCUAUAAUAAUGAUGCACACUUUUUUUUUGUCAAUAGAUGAAUAGAUAAUUCAUUGAAAAAUGCCUUAGGGCACUUGCUCAAGCACACACAUGAUGUUAACAAUAGUACACAAAAUAUCAACUAACGUAGGAUAGACACACCCUCCAAACUAACAAAGUAGGAAUCUUGCACUUACUCAAAAAUAGAAAACAUAUAUAGAAGGCCCAUCCUUUUAUUAUAAAGAAGUACAUAGAACUAUGACCUUUUUUCUUCAUCAUUUUUUUUUUCUUUGUAUUCCUUUUGAAUCUACUUGCGCUUAAUUGCAACUUUAGACAUGACGACCUAAAAUCGACCUUUGGUGGUAGUCUACAAUUACAGUAAAAGGGCUCUAACAAUAUCCAUUGAAAAAGGUAAAAUGUGGUGGGAAAUGAAAGAGGUUGAGAAAAUAAUUACAUAAAUAAACUGAGAAAAUAGAUUGUUAGAGAAGAGAAGGAAACAUAAAUGGUGACCGGACAAGGAUGAGAGAAAGGUAAAUUAAGAUAAAGGGGUGAAUCAAAGAGGAGAUGAGGAGAUAAAGGUUAAAAAAGAAAAGAAGGACAGAAUUAAGAAAAAUCUCUUAUUAUAUAUGAAGCAAGAAAAACAACUUAUAGUGGAGAAAAAUACCUCUCAUAAGAGUAGAAACCCUUCCGUGCACUUGCCAGGCUUCAAUAGAUCCACUUUCAUUAUCAUUGUCAUUACAAAUUUAUAACCUCUAGAGCUGCCAAAACAUAUCCACUCCACGUCAGAUUUUCCUCUUCAUAUGAUAUUUUCUUCCCACAGCACUUCUCAUUUUUUUAUUCACACAUUAUAUUUAAUCAAUUAAUCUAAAUCUUACUAACACAUUGACACAAUAUUUUUCAUUUGUUUUCCCUUUUACGUAAUCAUCCACUAUUUUUAUCUUUGUCAAAUAUCCAUGCAUUCACAUCCUCAUUCAGAAACACAAGACAAAUCCUCCGACUAUAACUAUUUUGCAUAUUAAAUAAUCAAACAAGAAAGUUAUACCUUCAGUUCAUUAUAAUGGUAGAAAAUAAUUUAUUUCAUAAUAAUUUUUAU